UUGCCCAUAGUAACGAGUUGCUAGCGUAUUUUCACCAUCAAUCAGCUUUCUCUGCUUCUGUUUUUUCAGUUUCAGUUUCUUUCAAUUUCAGUUUCAAUUGAACAAUUUUAUAAACAUCAAAAUAUUUUGACCAUCAAUUUAUUAAUGACAGGAAAAGUUUACACCAUGGGAAAGAGAGUUCCUUUCAAUCAUGUCCCAAAAAUUCAUCAUAAAUGAUAACUAUGAUGAACAUGUGAAUGUCCAGUCUCAGAAUGCAAGUAUACUUACCUGUCGUUAUUAACGCUCAAUAUUACAGCUCUGUUUUUAUUUAAGGUUUCGCCAGCUUCAUCGCAGUCUUCGGAAGUUCUGGGCAGCUCUAUACUCGUUUCGCCCAGAAGGAAGUGUCCAAGGAAGCAAAAGAAGAAAAAGCUCAAGAGAAGGGUCGAGGAAAGGGUCGAGGAAAAGGUCGAGGAAAAGCCCGAAGUGAAGUUGCCAAUGAUGUGGAAAGUGAUUUUCAGAGCGAGGAGCAGUUGCAAGAAAUAGUAUGGCCAUCACCAAUCUCUGAUCACAAACUAAUGUUGUUUCCAACCCAUUCUGACGGCCACUGUGUUUUAGUCACGCUCGACAAUGGAAAAAAAACUUUAAACUACUACGACACAAUGAAAAAGUCAAAUCCAAAAAUUUUACAAAAUUACAAAAUCAUCAUAAGCAGAUGCUAUCCGGACGUAAAGUUCGAAUACCUAAAUCACCGCAACAUUCCACAACAACUUGACCCACAUAGCUGUGGCCCAUUCAUUUGUAAUACGCCGCCAUGAUUGUUUAUCAUUUUCUCACUGGUUUACCUGAAUAUGAUAUUCUGAAACAAAAAAGUUUUAACGCGGCAAAAGUUGAAAGAAGCAAUGUGAUUGAAACAAAGAGAAGCGCUCAAGCGAAAAAGUAUUCAGGCAACUGAUAUCAUCACUAAUUAUCAGCCCGAAGAAACGCUGGAAAACCCUGCAUAUUUAUCUCUCGUGAAACGAAAGAGAAAAGAAUACGAAGAAGAGAAACGCAAGCGGCAAAAGUUGGAAAAUUGGCCAUUAAAUCUCAAACAUGACUUUGAAAUAACUAGAAAGAAAGCAAUAAG
Non-coding RNA from Tetranychus urticae (two-spotted spider mite), 1102 nucleotides. Lineage: Eukaryota; Metazoa; Arthropoda; Arachnida; Trombidiformes; Tetranychidae. The record is from RefSeq and is a predicted model, not a curated record.